UGAGCCAACUCGCUCCAAGGUUUCUGCAAUGGCAGCAAGGUUCUGCCAGUGCUACACAUGCAUAGGCAUGGCCACUGACCACUCAGCUGCCAGUCCCACCUGGAAUAUUCUGGCUCUGCCAUUUUUGCCUGAGGAAUAGUCGGUGUAUAAAGGCCCCGUAGCACAGUUCAAAUUCCAUUUGCAAUGCAGCCAGCACAUACCCCACUCCUAGCUGGGCCCUGCCCAGCUGAAACUACUCCCUGUGGCAUUCACCCCUGUGGCCUUAACUCAAAAGUCCUCAGCUCAGUCUGUGUAAUCUGCCUGCUGAAAUCCUGGAAAGAGGGAUGGAAGGGAGAAAGAGAAGGAAGAGAGGGAGAGGGAGGGGGAAGGAGGGGGAAAGAGGUAGAGGUUAGAAGAGAGACAGGGAUCAAGGAAGGGAGGCAGGGAGAAAGAAAGAGAAUUUCUUUUACAUCGUUUUUACCCACCCCAAACAUUAGUUGGACACUAACUAUGUCCUAAGCACUGUCGCAGAUAAAGCAAAGUAUAAGAUGUAUAACCCCUUGGCUGAGUGCAAUGGCUCACGCCUGUAAUCCCAACACUUUGGGAGGCCAAGGUAGGAGGAUCCCUUGAGGCCAAGAUUUGGAGACCAGCCUGCGUAACAUAGUGAGACCCCUCCCGCAUCUCUACAGAAUAUAUAUAUAUUAGCCAGGUGUGAUAGUGCUCGCUGUAGUCCCAGCUACCUGGGAGGCUGAGGCAGGAGGACUGCUUAAGCCCAGGAGUUCAAGGUUGCGGUGAGCUGUGAUCAUGCCAUUGCACUCCAGCCUGGGUGACAGAGUGAGACCCUGUCUCUAAAAUAAAUAGAUAAGAUGUAACCUUUAGGCUCAAGUCAUUUCCAAUCUAGUCAGGAGAAAAAAAAAAAGCCAAACACAACAAUUUACUCAAGCACUUAAUUUGAUGCCACAGGUCACUAUGGCUGUGCAAAUGCCGGGAAGAGAGAGACAGCUGAGAGCUGGAGGAGGAGAUGCUUCGUGGAGGAGCUGGAAGCUGAGGCAGACCCCGAUAGAGAAGUCGAAUCUGAACCAGAGGAGUCGGGUGUUUGUCAGUUUCCCAUAGACUCAACAUUGAAUCUUGGCCCCUUCCACGUCCAAGGAACAGGCCCUUGCUUGGGUUCCAUCAUCGGUGAAGGUCCCAUUUGUACAUCUUUCCACCCAUCUCCACUAAAAAUACAAAAAUUAGCCAGGCAUGGUGGCACACCCCUGUAAUCACAGCUACUCAGGAGGCUGAGGAAGGAGAAUCGCUUGAACCUGGGAGGUGGAGGUUGCACUGAGCCGAGAUCGUGCCACUGCACACCAGCCUGGGUGACAGAGCAAGACUCUGUCUUAAAAUAAAUAAAUAAAUAAAUAAAUAAAUGGAAUCCUAUAGUAUGUGACCUUUGUGCAUGGCUUCCUUCACUUAGCAUUAUGUUUUUGAGGUUUAUCCGUAUUGUAACAUGAAUCAGUACUUCAUUCCUUUUUAUAGCUUAAUAAUAUUCUGUUAUAUGUCUAUGCCACAAUUUGUUUAUCCAUUCAUCUAUUGAUGGACAUCUGGGCUGUUUCUGCCUUUUGGCUAUUGUGAAUAGUGCAGCUAUAAACAUGUGGGUACAUGGAUUUGUUUGGUCACCAGUUUUCAAUUCUUUUUUUUUUUUUAAGAAAUGGGAUCUUGCUAUGUUGCCCAGGCUGGAGUGCAGGGGCUAUUCACAGGAGCAAUCAUCAUUGCCUACUCAGCCUCAAACUCCUGGCUUAAGUGAUCCUCCUGCCCCAGUCUUCUGCACAACUGGGACUACAAGCACAGGCUACACGCUCCUGGCUGUUUUCAAUUCCUUUGGAUAUAUACCUAGGAGUGGAAUUGCUAGAGGGCCAUUUGAUGAUAGAAAGAGCGUGCUUAUCUUAAUAUUUGCAAGAUUGCUUUCUAAAAUCCAGUCCUUUUCUCUCAAAUCUGGUAGUGGCACUGAUCUAUGGUUGACAUAGUUCACCAGCAAUGCAACAGUUUUCCUUAAGUAUAGGAACCCUCCUAAACUCAGCACUUUGUGAUGUAGGGAUAUUUCUCCCUCAUGCCUGCACCAUACGUCUCAGCUAUAAACUCCCAACUCCGUCAGGAGACUGCUUAUUUGAACAAAGACUGUAAGUACUCAAAGAGCCCCAAGGUCCGGAGAAGGCUGCCAAGACCUGGCGCACAGACGAGUACAGAACAGACCUCAAUUUAAGGUUCCAGGAGAGAAAGAAAGCUGUGCUUUGUGGUCCUGGAUUGAUACGAAAAGAUUUAGCACUUUCUCUUAUUCACCAAAUAUUUCUAAGCACCUACUGUGUGCCAGGUACCAUUUUGUGCUGGGAGGCUGCAAUAGAAAACAAGAGAGAAAAUGUCCCUGUCCUCACAACUUAUAUUGUUAGAGAUGGAGAAACGAUGAAGGAAAUAAAAGUGGAAAGUGGUUCUAGAAGGAAGAGGCGGGCUGCUGGGUCAAAGACUGUUGCAAAGUCAACAUAAGGAGAAGACAGAUCCAUGAGCAAAUGCCACAUGUCCUCUCCUUCAUGGGGUGUGGCUUUGGGUUUGUGUGAGGUGGGACAGAUUGCUGAGCCCCUGCAUGAACCAGACCCUAGAAAGGCGAUGCACCAGGGAGAAGAGGCUGGAAAAAUCCUGCUCAUUGGCCCAGGGAAAUAAUGAGCAAGCUGAUGUGUGCCCAGGAUCCUGAGUGAGGAAAAAUAAAUCUCCUGUUUAAAAAUAAAAGAAGUUUGGCAGUUCCUCGGAAAGUUAAAUAAGAAUUACCAUAAGACCCAGCAAUUCCACUACGAGGUGUGCACUCCAAUGGCUGGAGGGAGGGACUCAAGCAGAUACAUGUACACCAGGGUUCGCAGCAGCAUUCAUAGCAGCUAUUUACAAGGGCCCAAAGGUGGAAACAACCCAGAUGUCCAUCAGCAGCUGAAUGGAUAAACAAAACAUGGUACAUAUAUUUCGUGGAAUAUU
Molecule: long non-coding RNA, 2976 nt
Filed under: Homo sapiens (human)
Lineage: Eukaryota; Metazoa; Chordata; Mammalia; Primates; Hominidae
Description: non-protein coding lnc-BCL2-2:1
Source: RNAcentral